GCACACCAGACAUCUUCCCAAUAUUUCCCGCCAAAACCACUCGUCUUCUACUGAACCAUUUUCCCCCAAUUUUCGACGAUAUCCGCAAACCCUAGUCGCAACGAGUUUUACCCGACCUCACGAUUUAAAGCACAUCGCAAGCAUCGUUCUUCGAUUCGUCCGUAAUAGUAUAUAAGUAUGUAUUUAUAUACGCGUGAGCCGGGGUUAGUUUUUUUUUGUCAAGCACUGAAGAUUAUAUUCUAGUCAAAUUAAUCUUACAGUUUUGGUCUUUCGAUCUUAUAUUUGUAAUUUCUGAGCAUCCUAUUGUUUUUUUGAAUAACCUGCCUUUUUUGUUUCGUUUUUAUUUUUGUUUGUAUCAAGAAUCUGCGAGCAUCAUAUUGUUUGUGCCAACUGCCAAGAAUUUCCCUGCAAUACAGCAUAUGCGUGUGCAUAAAUGUGUAUAUCUCUGUGUGUUUGUGUGACUGAGUCCAGGUUAGGGUUAUUUGUAAAGCACUGAAGACUAUUAUACAGUCAAUUAAUUGUACAGAAUGUUCUUUCAUUUUUAUAUUUGUGAUUUCUGAGCAUCCUAUUGUUUUUUUUUUUGUAGAAUUUGCAUUUUUUGAUUUGGGCAAAGUGCUAAAACUUGAAAAUGACAAGAGAAGAAGCUGAGAAGGGAAGAGAUAACAUGGAAAUUGACGGAUGCGAGCCUCAAUCUCCACAAGGAAAC
This 706-nucleotide long non-coding RNA is filed under the name Actinidia chinensis (golden kiwifruit). RNAcentral describes it as "long non-coding RNA (ACHI_LNC005129)". Lineage: Eukaryota; Viridiplantae; Streptophyta; Magnoliopsida; Ericales; Actinidiaceae. The record is from RNAcentral.